Molecule: long non-coding RNA, 605 nt
Filed under: Hordeum vulgare
Lineage: Eukaryota; Viridiplantae; Streptophyta; Magnoliopsida; Poales; Poaceae
Description: long non-coding RNA (HVUL_LNC015630)
Source: RNAcentral
UUCGUACUUUUCAUUUUUGUGUUGUAAUAUACAUCUUGCAGAUACACGAUUUUUAACUUGAAGAGUAUGGUCGUUGGACUUUAGUUCAGUACAGAUUUGUUUCAUGAUAAGCUUACCAACUCCAUUUCCAAAUACAUGACGUAGAAAGCAUGUAGUCAAACUUUACCUUUGACCAUUAGUCAAAUCAAAUUAUUUAGUUUUUCUUUGAUAGAAAUUGUAGCAUUAGGUUUGUAAUUCAGAACAGUUUCACUGUAUAUACUUUUUACUUAUAUAUGUUGUGCACUGAAGACUCAAAAUGCAAAACAUUAUCUAUCUUAGAAUGGUGGGAGUAUAUUUGAUUAUGAUUAGUGAUAAGUUGAUAACUGUCGAUAGUCAAUCGAGAAAUUUUAUUGUGAUUAUCUUAAUUUGAUGACCAUAUUAUGAGUCAUGAUUAGCCAAUCAAACCUGCAAGCUCACUUAAUCCUACCUAACAGAUAAAGAACACUGUUUUAUUAAUAGAAUAGUGUGCUUCCCUUUACUGUGAUAUCUUACUAGUCCUAGUCAAUUUGAACAAGUUUAUAACAUGCUCAUUUUAACUUUGAUCAUCCUACACAUCUCUGUGUGCA